RNAcentral lists this long non-coding RNA (330 nucleotides) under Olea europaea (common olive). RNAcentral's name for it is "long non-coding RNA (OEUR_LNC008191)". The record is from RNAcentral. Lineage: Eukaryota; Viridiplantae; Streptophyta; Magnoliopsida; Lamiales; Oleaceae.
GGCCCAAAGAACCAAAACCAAUUAUCAAACGAGCCCACGAUCCAUUUACCUUUCAAAUUAUUUACCCAACCCAAUUUACAUAUCUAAUAUCCACUAUCCAACCCAAUUAACCAAAAAUUCCCAAAAUUCAAUUCAAUCAAAAACUCCCAAAAUUCCCAAAAUCAAAAAUUCCCCAAAAUCUCUGCUCGACGCCCAGCCUCUGCUGCAGCUCUGCUCGUCACUCGACAGUCCCCACUCCAGUCCAGUAGUCGUCGGCUCGUCGCCACUCGCCUGUCGUCUAGCAGAGGUGGCCACGGUCUCCACUUCAUCAUCUUCCCAACCAUUUCGUUC